ACAGGAAAAAUGAAGAGUAAUGAGGAAAUGAAAGAUUGCAGAGAACAACGAGAGAAUAAAGAGACGCUUUAUGCCCGCUUGGCCUUCAAUCAGGAUCCCACACUUUGAUUGGAGAGCAAGGAGGGAGAGAGAGCUCACAGUCUUCUUCCCUAACACGACGUGUUGCAGACAUUUUCCACCUUGGUCGGGAAAUUCCGAAAAUCCAACCGGUGUAAAUUCAGGUGUAUUCUCGGUGCAAUUUUACGAUGUCGCCAAAAGCGGCAACAGAAUAAUCUCAUAAUGCCAGCUAUUCUAACCAUGAAAUACUGCCUGCAGUUCCACUCCAGCCUCUCCAGCUUUCUGUGAUUUGGAAUUGGCGUUUAUUAAUGCACUCUGCAUCUUUAUUCAGUAUGUCAGCAAGAUAUUAUUCAAACAGGAUUAACAAUGUAUCUUGCUCGAGUUACCAACAUAUUAAAACAGAUUUGAAAACCAA
This is a long non-coding RNA of Carcharodon carcharias (great white shark), 472 nucleotides long. RefSeq lists it as uncharacterized. The transcript has 2 exons. The record is from RefSeq and is a predicted model, not a curated record. Lineage: Eukaryota; Metazoa; Chordata; Chondrichthyes; Lamniformes; Lamnidae.